Molecule: ribosomal RNA, 154 nt
Filed under: Rhododendron molle
Lineage: Eukaryota; Viridiplantae; Streptophyta; Magnoliopsida; Ericales; Ericaceae
Description: 5.8S ribosomal RNA
Rfam family: 5.8S ribosomal RNA
About the family: 5.8S ribosomal RNA (5.8S rRNA) is a component of the large subunit of the eukaryotic ribosome. It is transcribed by RNA polymerase I as part of the 45S precursor that also contains 18S and 28S rRNA.
Source: RNAcentral
ACUCUCGGCAACGGAUAUCUCGGCUCUUGCAUCGAUGAAGAACGUAGCGAAAUGCGAUACUUGGUGUGAAUUACAGAAUCCCGUGAACCAUUGAGUCUUUGAACGCAAGUUACGCCUAAAGCCAUUAGGUUGAAGGCACGUCUGCCUGGGCGUC